AGGACAUUACCGAGUUAUUCAACUCAUCAACCUCUGUGAACAUACCUAAACGUUGCUUGGGGGGCAGACGGCCCCGUGAAACGGGCCGCCCCCGCCAGAGGACCCCUAACUCUGUUUCUAUAAUGUUUCUUCUGAGUAAAACAAGCAAAUAAAUUAAAACUUUCAACAACGGAUCUCUUGGCUCUGGCAUCGAUGAAGAACGCAGCGAAAUGCGAUAAGUAAUGUGAAUUGCAGAAUUCAGUGAAUCAUCGAAUCUUUGAACGCACAUUGCGCCCGCCAGUAUUCUGGCGGGCAUGCCUGUUCGAGCGUCAUUACAACCCUCAGGCCCCCGGGCCUGGCGUUGGGGAUCGGCGGAGCCCCCCGUGGGCACACGCCGUCCCCCAAAUACAGUGGCGGUCCCGCCGCAGCUUCCAUCGCGUAGUAGCUAACACCUCGCGACUGGAGAGCGGCGCGGCCACGCCGUAAAACACCCAACUCUUCUGAAGUUGACCUCGAAUCAGGUAGGAAUACCCGCUGAACUUAAGCAUAUCAAUAAGCGGAGGA
Molecule: small RNA, 543 nt
Filed under: uncultured Fusarium
Lineage: Eukaryota; Fungi; Ascomycota; Sordariomycetes; Hypocreales; Nectriaceae
Description: eukaryotic LSU rRNA
Rfam family: 5.8S ribosomal RNA (bases 158-311)
Source: RNAcentral